GAUGAAGAACGUAGCGAAAUGCGAUACGUAAUACGAAUUGCAGAUUCAGUGAAUCAUCGAGUCUUUGAACGCACAUUGCGCCCCCUGGCAUUCCGGGGGGCAUGCCUGUCCGAGCGUCAUUGCUGCCCUUCAAGCCCGGCUUGUGUGUUGGGUCGUCGUCCCCCCCGGGGGACGGGCCCGAAAGGCAGCGGCGGCACCGCGUCCGGUCCUCGAGCGUAUGGGGCUUUGUCACCCGCUCGAUUAGGGCCGGCCGGGCGCCAGCCGGCGUCUCCAACCUUCUAUUUUACCAGGUUGACCUCGGAUCAGGUAGGGAUACCCGCUGAACUUAAGCAUAUCAAUAAGCGGAGGA
Molecule: unclassified non-coding RNA, 349 nt
Filed under: soil metagenome
Description: partial contains 5.8S ribosomal RNA, internal transcribed spacer 2, and large subunit ribosomal RNA
Rfam family: 5.8S ribosomal RNA (bases 1-119)
Source: RNAcentral